CUGGCCUCGGUGGGGACUCAUUAAAAUAUAGGUUAGCAGCUCUGGCAGCACCGUGAGACAGCCUUGGCCCAGACGCCAGGAUGGUCGUGGAGACCGUGGAAGGAGUCUUGGGAACUGAACAUCAUCACCACAGAGGCGAGAAGGAAGACAAUCGUGCUGGGGGCAAAGGCCCGUGCAACACCACUGGGACUCCCAGAAAGCCUCGGAAGGUAAUGACUUAACCAUCCGUCGUGAGUCCCAGGGCUGCAGAACAGAACACGUUUGUCCUUUAAAUGCUAUUGGGAAAGAGAAACCAGAAGAAAAUUGGAAAAAGCAGUUUUCCCAGGCUUCAGUCCUUGCAGGCCUUUACUUACAAAAGCAGGCGGUUCCCUUGGGAAGUAUGCAUCCAAUUAAUCCUCCAAAUAAAUACUUGGCUUCAACAGAGAAAAUAACCUCGCCGUAUUCAGCACAGACUUGAUGGCACCUGCCUCAGGCCCUUGAAUGAGCAGGACUGCUUUGCCCAUUGGGCACUGCAGCAGAGCGCCUAGGCCAGGGCCAAGAACACUUCAAGAGCAGAUUAAAAUGCCUGAGACUUGGGGAGAAAGAAAGAAAGAAAUGUUCUGCUUCCAAAAUAUGGAAAUUGUGAAAUCAGUAUUUUAAAAUGUUUAGUGACAUCGCUGCAAAUUAUACCAUAUGUCAACUUCAUCAAAGAUUAAAUUUGAUCUUCAUAAGCAUCUCAUUACAAUUAAAAACAAUUUGUGGAUUAGAUUUUCUUACUGAAAAUUUCUCAUGGGUCCCCAACGAUUGCUGAGAAAUCAUAACCAAGCGUGAAUCAGAGGAGUUGAUUGUAGAAAAUAAUUUUAAAAGCCAAGUUAGAAAAUGCCUUUCAAAUGUUUUGGCCCCAAAUUCUGGUGGAUACAAAUAUUUUUGAUAACGAGUGGGCGGAGCUGCCUAGGAUUUAAGAGGCUCGCCAGGCGGCCCUGUGGUUGGGUCAUUUCACCUCCCUGGGAUAUUCUUUAAUUGUCUCUAUAAUCCAUGUUCUUUCUCUGACUUAAAUUUUUGAAGGAAACUUCCCUGCGAGAAGUUUUCCUCGUCCUGCUCCCCUGGUCUCCUUGACUAUCUCUUUAGCAAUCACCCACAGGAGGACCUCGUUUUUGCUUGUGUUACAGACAACUUAUAUUCCUUCAUGUCUAUUUUGAGGGCUUUCUUAAAUCUAUUUUAUGAAUUCCUGUUAUAUUUCUACUAAAGUGAGAGCCUUGG
This 1239-nucleotide long non-coding RNA is filed under the name Equus caballus (horse). RNAcentral's name for it is "lncRNA (ENSECAG00000054705.1)". Lineage: Eukaryota; Metazoa; Chordata; Mammalia; Perissodactyla; Equidae. The record is from RNAcentral.